Molecule: ribosomal RNA, 409 nt
Filed under: uncultured bacterium
Lineage: Bacteria
Description: bacterial SSU rRNA
Rfam family: Bacterial small subunit ribosomal RNA
Source: RNAcentral
CAGCAGCCGCGGUAAUACGGGGGGGGCAAGCGUUGUUCGGAAUUACUGGGCGUAAAGGGCUCGUAGGCGGCCAACUAAGUCAGACGUGAAAUCCCCAGGCUUAACCUGGGAACUGCGUCUGAUACUGGAUGGCUUGAAUUCGGGAGAGGGAUGCAGAAUUCCAGGUGUAGCGGUGAAAUGCGUAGAUAUCUGGAGGAAUACCGGUGGCGAAGGCGGCAUCCUGGACCGACAUUGACGCUGAUGAGCGAAAGCUAGGGGAGCAAACGGGAUUAGAUACCCCGGUAGUCCUAGCCCUAAACGAUGAAUGCUUGGUGUGGCGGGUAUCGAUCCCUGCCGUGCCGAAGCUAACGCAUUAAGCAUUCCGCCUGGGGAGUACGGUCGCAAGGCUGAAACUCAAAUGAAUUGACGG